CCUCCGACCAACCACUCCGAGAAGAAGAACCCCUAGCCAUUAAAGAGAAGACUAAAGAAGGCAAAGGAUAGCUCAAAGCAAAAAGAACAAAGAACUUAACCUGAAAUUCAAAGAAGAAGAUGAGGAAGAAAGAAAACCCUCCAAACACUGGGACAACCUUCUGGCAAAGCUUAUGUAGCAAAAAAGCAAAUGAAAAGUAAAAGUUUGGCUAAAAGCAACCCUAUAUAUAUAGGAUCCCUCAACGAUCAGGAUCAAAUCAAUCAAGCCA
Molecule: long non-coding RNA, 268 nt
Filed under: Elaeis guineensis (African oil palm)
Lineage: Eukaryota; Viridiplantae; Streptophyta; Magnoliopsida; Arecales; Arecaceae
Description: long non-coding RNA (EGUI_LNC001600)
Source: RNAcentral